GCGCAAUCCUCCUGCCAAGUAGCUCAUACAUAGACAUGUGCUAUCGGUGCCUUAUCGGCGUUAUUGCAAUAACGAUCGUGCGUCAAUAUUCGAAUAUAUGUAAGACAUUACUUACUCACUUGAGAAAGACUGCGGAGUGUCCAGACGCGCAAGGUCGACAUAAAAGAGCCAUGGAACGGAGGUCACACACGCUGAGCGCUCUCUCACUUCUGUACCUGGUGUCAGUAGCCUUGGCUAAUGUGGCAUUCAAGGACAAGUACGAAGUCAAGUUCAAAGACGAUGUCAAAGACAAUUUCGGAGAGGAAAGAGAGGAAACAAAGGAAAUCACAAGAGAGGAAACAAAGGAACUCACAAGAAAGGAAACAAAGGAAAUCACAAGAAAGGAAACAAAGGAAAUCACAAGAGAGGAAAGACAGGAAGUACAGCCUGCACUUGUCCUUGGAGCAGGACCGAUAGCUGGUAUCGUUAUAGUCGGCAUAGCAGCGAUCCUCACCUCCAUCGGGCUUUGCAAGCUCUGUGCGCACCUCCGAAAGUAGACGACAGUGACCAACACCACCGUGGUGAUGCAACCUGUGCAAUAAGGACAGCCAAUGGCUGCAGCCUACCUUGUCAGCGCGUAUCCUCAACAAGUGCAACCAAAUCCAUCCACUGGCAUGCCUCCUCCAGCAUAUGAGCUCAAGCAACAAGCAUAAGAUCGUGCAAUGUAGUCGCCGCGGUGUUUUCUACGCUGUAACACACUAAACACAAUGCAGAUUUAGCCUUU
Long non-coding RNA from Ornithodoros turicata, 763 nucleotides. RefSeq lists it as uncharacterized. NCBI's taxonomy places the organism in Eukaryota, Metazoa, Arthropoda, Arachnida, Ixodida, Argasidae. The transcript has 4 exons. The record is from RefSeq and is a predicted model, not a curated record.